RNAcentral lists this ribosomal RNA (253 nucleotides) under uncultured bacterium. Its description in RNAcentral is "partial 16S ribosomal RNA". It matches the Rfam family "Bacterial small subunit ribosomal RNA", at positions 524 to 776 of the family's 1533-position model. The record is from RNAcentral.
UACGUAGGGCGCAAGCGUUAUCCGGAAUUAUUGGGCGUAAAGAGCUCGUAGGCGGUUUGUCGCGUCUGCCGUGAAAGUCCGGGGCUCAACUCCGGAUCUGCGGUGGGUACGGGCAGACUAGAGUGAUGUAGGGGACACUGGAAUUCCUGGUGUAGCGGUGAAAUGCGCAGAUAUCAGGAGGAACACCGAUGGCGAAGGCAGGUCUCUGGGCAUUAACUGACGCUGAGGAGCGAAAGCAUGGGGAGCGAACAGG